Molecule: ribosomal RNA, 497 nt
Filed under: uncultured bacterium
Lineage: Bacteria
Description: partial 16S ribosomal RNA
Rfam family: Bacterial small subunit ribosomal RNA
Source: RNAcentral
GAUGAACGCUGGCGGCGUGCCUAAUACAUGCAAGUCGAGCGAACGGACGAGAAGCUUGCUUCUCUGAUGUUAGCGGCGGGCGGGUGAGUAACACGUGGAUAACCUACCUAUAAGACUGGGAUAACUUCGGGAAACCGUAUCUAAUACCGGAUAAUAUUUUGAACCGCAUGGUUCAAAAGUGAAAGACGGUCUUGCUGUCACUUAUAGAUGGAUCCGCGCUGCAUUAGCUAGUUGGUAAGGUAACGGCUUACCAAGGCAACGAUGCAUAGCCGACCUGAGAGGGUGAUCGGCCACACUGGAACUGAGACACGGUCCAGACUCCUACGGGAGGCAGCAGUAGGGAAUCUUCCGCAAUGGGCGAAAGCCUGACGGAGCAACGCCGCGUGAGUGAUGAAGGUCUUCGGAUCGUAAAACUCUGUUAUUAGGGAAGAACAUAUGUGUAAGUAACUGUGCACAUCUUGACGGUACCUAAUCAGAAAGCCACGGCUAACUACGUG